This 467-nucleotide ribosomal RNA is filed under the name uncultured bacterium. Its description in RNAcentral is "partial 16S ribosomal RNA". It matches the Rfam family "Bacterial small subunit ribosomal RNA", at positions 28 to 507 of the family's 1533-position model. The record is from RNAcentral.
GACGAACGCUGGCGGCGUGCUUAACACAUGCAAGUCGAACGGAAAGGCUCCAGCUUGCUGGAGUACUCGAGUGGCGAACGGGUGAGUAACACGUGGGUAAUCUGCCCUGCACUCUGGGAUAAGCCUGGGAAACUGGGUCUAAUACUGGAUAUGACCUUUCUCCUUAUGGGGUUUGGUGGAAAGUUUUUCGGUGUAGGAUGAGCCCGCGGCCUAUCAGCUUGUUGGUGGGGUGAUGGCCUACCAAGGCGACGACGGGUAGCCGGCCUGAGAGGGUGAUCGGCCACAUUGGGACUGAGAUACGGCCCAGACUCCUACGGGAGGCAACAGUGGGGAAUAUUGCACAAUGGGCGGAAGCCUGAUGCAGCGACGCCGCGUGAGGGAUGACGGCCUUCGGGUUGUAAACCUCUUUCAGCAGGGACGAAGCGUAAGUGACGGUACCUGCAGAAGAAGCACCGGCUAACUAUGUG